RNAcentral lists this ribosomal RNA (433 nucleotides) under uncultured bacterium. Its description in RNAcentral is "partial 16S ribosomal RNA". It matches the Rfam family "Bacterial small subunit ribosomal RNA", at positions 29 to 507 of the family's 1533-position model. The record is from RNAcentral.
AACGAACGCUGGCGGCAUGCCUAACACAUGCAAGUCGAACGAGACCUUCGGGUCUAGUGGCGCACGGGUGCGUAACGCGUGGGAACCUGCCCUUAGGUUCGGAAUAACUCCCCGAAAGGGGUGCUAAUACCGGAUAAAGUCUUCGGACCAAAGAUUUAUCGCCUUUGGAUGGGCCCGCGUUGGAUUAGCUAGUUGGUAGGGUAAAAGCCUACCAAGGCGACGAUCCAUAGCUGGUCUGAGAGGAUGAUCAGCCACACUGGGACUGAGACACGGCCCAGACUCCAACGGGAGGCAGUAGUGGGGAAUAUGGGACAAUGGGCGAAAGCCUAAUCCAGCAAUGCCGCGGGAGGGAUAAAGGCCUUAGGGUUGUAAAGCUCUUUUACCCGGGAUGAAAAUGAAAGUACCGGGAGAAUAAGCUCCGGCUAACUCCGUG